Passer domesticus (house sparrow) is the source of this 727-nucleotide long non-coding RNA. RefSeq lists it as uncharacterized. The record is from RefSeq and is a predicted model, not a curated record. The transcript has 3 exons. NCBI's taxonomy places the organism in Eukaryota, Metazoa, Chordata, Aves, Passeriformes, Passeridae.
UCAAGUGUGAACUGAGGUGGUUGUAUGUGACAGGCAGUAAUGGUUCCAAGGGAGAAAAAGUGGGGGAGAUGAUCUAGGCUGUUGGACCGCUUACCUGCAUUUAAAAUAGAGAGAAAGCAUCAGAUGCCCAAAGACCCAUGCAGGAGCAAAGGCCUUUACCUGCUUGCUGGACAGAGCGCAGUGAGAUUUCUGCCAUUGUUUAAGUAGCUUCAUGUUUGGAAAUCCUGCUGCAGCAACAGCUGAGAUCAAGAGUGCAUCGUGCUAGAUACAGGCACUUGCAGAGCUGCCAUAUUCCAAAUGGACAGAAACGAGCACACAUCCAGCAGGAGAAAAGAAGUACCAGAUCAUGAUCAAACAUGUUGGGUUCCUAACCCAGAGUUGGAGUGAGAUUAAGACUCAGAUCCUUAAAGGCACUUAGAGCCCAACUCCCAUUGAAAUCAAUGGGUGUUAGAUACCUAAAUAGCUUUAUGGAUCUGAGCAUAAAUAACUUAUCCAAGGGCAGAGCAGCAAUCUACAGCUGGGUUGGGAAUUAAACACAGAUUUUGCAAGUUACAGUCUGAUUUCUUAAUCACAAAAUCAUCUUUUCUCUCCAUAUUUGUGAAAUAAAUCCCCAGCAUCCACAUCACAACAUGGAUACACAAUGUCUACCCCAUCAAAUAAUGGGAAACCUGCAGUGACAAAAAUGUUUUUCCUCAAAACAAACCCAGUUACAGACACACACAUUUCU